RNAcentral lists this ribosomal RNA (90 nucleotides) under Trichonephila inaurata madagascariensis. Lineage: Eukaryota; Metazoa; Arthropoda; Arachnida; Araneae; Nephilidae. The record is from RNAcentral.
CACCGGUUCUCGUCUGAUCACGAAAGUUAAGCAUCAUCGGGCGCGGUCAGUACUUGGGAGGGUGACCACCUGGGAACACCACGUGCCGUU